This 254-nucleotide ribosomal RNA is filed under the name uncultured bacterium. RNAcentral describes it as "partial 16S ribosomal RNA". It matches the Rfam family "Bacterial small subunit ribosomal RNA", at positions 524 to 776 of the family's 1533-position model. The record is from RNAcentral.
UACGGGGGGAGCAAGCGUUGUUCGGAUUUACUGGGCGUAAAGGGCGCGUAGGCGGCCACCGCAAGUCGGUUGUGAAAUCUCCGGGCUUAACCCGGAAAGGUCAACUGAUACUGCGGGGCUAGAGUGCAGAAGGGGCAACUGGAAUUCUCGGUGUAGCGGUGAAAUGCGUAGAUAUCGAGAGGAACACCUGCGGCGAAGGCGGGCUGCUGGGCUGACACUGACGCUGAGGCGCGAAAGCCAGGGGAGCGAACGGG